AGAUAACCACCUAACAAACCAUAGCAUGUGAUCAUGAGAAGAUAUUUGGCAUUGAAUUAUCUGCUUUAUGUAAUAACAGUAACGUAAAAAUAAUAAGUAUAUUACUCUGAAAUUGAAAUGUUUUUGCUGACCACAGAACGCAGAAGUUUCUGUUUCUCUCUUAUUAAUGAAUUACGACACUCAAGCACUCUCUGUAAGCUUCAGUGCUGUCCAAAUGAGAGGAAGUGUCAUUUAUAGCUGUUUAUUUCAUCUUUGUCUUUGUCUCGUCUGCAGACCGCGCACACAGAAGAUGCACCACAGCUCGAGUGCUUUCAAACAGGUGCUCCGACACGGACCAUUUUUCACCGGCCUGCGUUUUUAAUUCUGGACCGGAUCCAAACCCACGCUGACAUGAAGAAUUGAGAGGAAAGUGGCUUUACGAUUUCACAAAAGCUACAGUGUGACUCCAGUUAACCUCCGGCAUCAAGUUAAUGAGAGUCGUAGCAUCACUGUCAAAGACGCACACACGCACACACACACACACACACACACACACACACAGACAGAGGGUAUGAGAAAAUGACACAUGCUGAGACAGAGAGAGAGAGAGAGACGGGUCUGUUUUUGCAGGUUAUUUGGAUGGGAGUAUUUAUAGAGGCCUAACGGAGCAGCAAUGUGUGUGAUCUAUUAGAUACAGGGCUGUAACCACCAUAGACAUUGAGGAGGAUGAGUACACCCCCCCCCCCCACCAAAUAAUCAGAAAUGGCUAAAUUGUACCCCCCCAAUAUUUUAAAAUCUUGCACUGCACGGUACCCUCCAUUACACAGCGCUCUGUUUGUUGUUAGCAGGACAUAAAGGUUUCAAGGUACGUUUUUAAUUUAGGCUGGUCAGGUCCGACUUUGAAAACUAAAUAGUUCUCUCUUUAAAUAUGAAGAGGUCAAGCAACAGAUUAAUGAGUUAAUCCAAAUUUAACCAAAGGCUUAUGGACGCAAUUAUAAUAUGUGACCAUGCACCACAAUACCAGUCAUUAGGGUCAAUUUUUUAAAAUUGAGAUUUAUGCAUCUGAAAGCUGAAUAAAUAAUCUUUUCAUUGAUGUAUGGUUUGUUAU
Long non-coding RNA from Cyprinus carpio (common carp), 1087 nucleotides. NCBI's taxonomy places the organism in Eukaryota, Metazoa, Chordata, Actinopteri, Cypriniformes, Cyprinidae. The record is from Ensembl.